RNAcentral lists this ribosomal RNA (305 nucleotides) under uncultured bacterium. RNAcentral describes it as "bacterial SSU rRNA". It matches the Rfam family "Bacterial small subunit ribosomal RNA", at positions 335 to 653 of the family's 1533-position model. The record is from RNAcentral.
UCUCCUACGGGAGGCAGCAGUGGGGAAUAUUGGGCAAUGGGCGCAAGCCUGACCCAGCAACGCCGCGUGAAGGAAGAAGGCUUUCGGGUUGUAAACUUCUUUUCUCAGGGACGAAGAAAGUGACGGUACCUGAGGAAUAAGCCACGGCUAACUACGUGCCAGCAGCCGCGGUAAAACGUAGGGGGCGAGCGUUGUCCGGAAUGACUGGGCGUAAAGGGUGCGUAGGCGGCAUAAUAAGUUAGAAGUGAAAUACCCAGAGCUUAACUCGGGUGCUGCUUCUAAGACUGUUGAGCUUGAGUGCGGGG